UGGGGAAUAUUGGACAAUGGGGGCAACCCUGAUCCAGCAAUGCCGCGUGUGUGAAGAAGGUCUUCGGAUUGUAAAGCACUUUCGACGGGGACGAUGAUGACGGUACCCGUAGAAGAAGCCCCGGCUAACUUCGUGCCAGCAGCCGCGGUAAUACGAAGGGGGCUAGCGUUGCUCGGAAUGACUGGGCGUAAAGGGCGUGUAGGCGGUUUACACAGUCAGAUGUGAAAUCCCCGGGCUUAACCUGGGAGCUGCAUUUGAUACGUGUAGACUAGAGUGUGAGAGAGGGUUGUGGAAUUCCCAGUGGUAGAGG
Molecule: ribosomal RNA, 310 nt
Filed under: uncultured bacterium
Lineage: Bacteria
Description: partial 16S ribosomal RNA
Rfam family: Bacterial small subunit ribosomal RNA
Source: RNAcentral